GACGAACGCUGGCGGCGUGCCCAAUACAUGCAAGUUGAGCGCUGAAGGUUGGUACUUGUACCAACUGGAUGAGCAGCGAACGGGUGAGUAACGCGUGGGGAAUCUGCCUUUGAGCGGGGGACAACAUUUGGAAACGAAUGCUAAUACCGCAUAAAAACUUUAAACACAAGUUUUAAGUUUGAAAGAUGCAAUUGCAUCACUCAAAGAUGAUCCCGCGCUGUAUUAGCUAGUUGGUGAGGUAAAGGCUCACCAAGGCGAUGAUACAUAGCCGACCUGAGAGGGUGAUCGGCCACAUUGGGACUGAGACACGGCCCAAACUCCUACGGGAGGCAGCAGUAGGGAAUCUUCGGCAAUGGACGAAAGUCUGACCGAGCAACGCCGCGUGAGUGAAGAAGGUUUUCGGAUCGUAAAACUCUGUUGGUAGAGAAGAACGUUGGUGAGAGUGGAAAGCUCAUCAAGUGACGGUAACUACCCAGAAAGGGACGGCUAACUACGUG
Molecule: ribosomal RNA, 497 nt
Filed under: uncultured bacterium
Lineage: Bacteria
Description: partial 16S ribosomal RNA
Rfam family: Bacterial small subunit ribosomal RNA
Source: RNAcentral